CCCUUAGAUGUUCUGGGCUGCACGCGUGCUACACUUAUAUUGCCAAUAUGUCAUUCUUAUCCGAAAUGGAUUGGGUAAUCAAGUAAUGAAAUUUCAUGCUUGGAAUCGGUAAUUGCAAUUUUAUCGUGAACGAGGAAUUCCUAGUAAGCACUAGUCAUCAGCUAAUGUUGAUUAUGUCCCUGCCCUUUGUACACACCGCCCGUCGCUACUACUGAUUGGGUGUUCAAGUGAGAUGCUUAGACCCUUGUUGCAUGGUUCAUUAUUGUGCUCCGAAAGGAAAAAGUUUCAAGCUUGAGUGUCUAGAGGAAGUAAAAGUCGUAACA
RNAcentral lists this ribosomal RNA (323 nucleotides) under uncultured eukaryote. RNAcentral's name for it is "partial 18S ribosomal RNA". It matches the Rfam family "Eukaryotic small subunit ribosomal RNA", at positions 1470 to 1796 of the family's 1831-position model. The record is from RNAcentral.